GGCUUCGUGGUGCAGUGGUUAGCACACUCGGCUCGCAACCGAGAGCCUGGGUUCGAUUCCUGGGCGGAGUGG
This is a non-coding RNA of Eriocheir sinensis (Chinese mitten crab), 72 nucleotides long. The record is from the annotation of a RefSeq genome assembly. NCBI's taxonomy places the organism in Eukaryota, Metazoa, Arthropoda, Malacostraca, Decapoda, Varunidae.